CCUUCCGUAGGGUGAACCUGCGGAAGGAUCAUUACCGAGUGCGGGUCUUUAUGGCCCAACCUCCCACCCGUGACUAUUGUACCUUGUUGCUUCGGCGGGCCCGCCAGCGUUGCUGGCCGCCGGGGGGCGACUCGCCCCCGGGCCCGUGCCCGCCGGAGACCCCAACAUGAACCCUGUUCUGAAAGCUUGCAGUCUGAGUGUGAUUCUUUGCAAUCAGUUAAAACUUUCAACAAUGGAUCUCUUGGUUCCGGCAUCGAUGAAGAACGCAGCGAAAUGCGAUAACUAAUGUGAAUUGCAGAAUUCAGUGAAUCAUCGAGUCUUUGAACGCACAUUGCGCCCCCUGGUAUUCCGGGGGGCAUGCCUGUCCGAGCGUCAUUGCUGCCCUCAAGCCCGGCUUGUGUGUUGGGCCCUCGUCCCCCGGCUCCCGGGGGACGGGCCCGAAAGGCAGCGGCGGCACCGCGUCCGGUCCUCGAGCGUAUGGGGCUUCGUCUUCCGCUCCGUAGGCCCGGCCGGCGCCCGCCGACGCAUUUAUUUGCAACUUGUUUUUUUCCAGGUUGACCUCGGAUCAGGUAGGGAUACCCGCUGAACUUAAGCAUAUCAAUAAGGCGGAAGACAUUACCGAGUGCGGGUCUUUAUGGCCAACCUCCACCCGUGACUAUGGUACCUUGUUGCUUCGGCGGGCCCGCAGCGUUGCUGGCCCCGGGGGGCGACUCCCCGGGGCCUGCCGCGAAAAACUGAACCUGCUCGUAAAAAUCUGGCCUCAAGGGAGGCUUUUUGCAAGCGUAAAAAAUUUCACAAGGGAUCUCUUGGGUUCGGCAUCAAUGAAGAACCCCCGAAAUGCGAGAAUAAGGGGGAUUCGAAGAAUAGGAGAACCAACAUUUUUUAAGAGAAGCCCCCGCGCCCUUGGGGGGGGGAAGUGAAAGAAUUCUUACACCCCUCGCGGCGGGGGUGGGUCCCACCCCCCCCCACCCGACCAGGACAGGGGAGGAAGACCCCCACCCCCAAAGGUCCCUUUGUUGGUUAUUAGCUGCUGGGGCCGCCGCCGGCCCCCCAACAGGAUUUUUUUUUUUUUCUAUUUUUGGAAGCAA
Molecule: ribosomal RNA, 1088 nt
Filed under: Aspergillus terreus
Lineage: Eukaryota; Fungi; Ascomycota; Eurotiomycetes; Eurotiales; Aspergillaceae
Description: partial 18S ribosomal RNA
Rfam family: 5.8S ribosomal RNA (bases 222-375)
Source: RNAcentral